This 202-nucleotide long non-coding RNA is filed under the name Mytilus galloprovincialis (Mediterranean mussel). The record is from RNAcentral. Lineage: Eukaryota; Metazoa; Mollusca; Bivalvia; Mytilida; Mytilidae.
GGGGCAAGUAUGGACACAACAUUCAAGCUGGAUUCAGCUCUAAAUUUGGAUUGUGAUUUAAAAGUUGACACAGCAUAGGUUUCUGACACAGAAUGAAUGUGUUCUAAUGAACUUAAAAGUUUUGUUUUCUCUUAGAGCAAUUCACUAUGCUGUUGAAUAUUCAUCCUCUCAAAAAAAUGUUUGAAGAAAUUUUCUUUUUAUU